Molecule: long non-coding RNA, 425 nt
Filed under: Elaeis guineensis (African oil palm)
Lineage: Eukaryota; Viridiplantae; Streptophyta; Magnoliopsida; Arecales; Arecaceae
Description: long non-coding RNA (EGUI_LNC014639)
Source: RNAcentral
GCUUUUUUGGACCCAUAAAUGGGUGCUCGGCUGCAAUUGAAGAAGAGGUUGGAUCUGAUGACGAGCAAUCUCUGUAAUAGUUGCCUUCCACUCCCGAUCUCAAAUUGGCUUUACUGCUUCAGGUGAAGGAAGUAGUUAGCCAUUGGUUAUCAAUCCGAUCUUUCUACUUAGAGCACUUUGUGCCAUGUGUUGGGUGCUGGUGGCCUCGUAUUGUCUCACAAGUCGCCAAAGGUAAUUGUUUCAUAGAUUGUGUGGCGAGGAGUCAUACAGUCUAGGGGCCCUUAAGGUGUGUGGCCUUUAUUGCUAGUAUUUUCCAAAAAUGAUAUUCUGUCGGAGGAGAUGACUAGGAUAUUUUUUCUAGAAGGCAUGGUCUCUGAGACCUCUCUGGUAGUGACAUUUGGCAUACAAUUAGGGCGAUGACUGGA